CUGUGAAGGCGGUAUAAAAAUGUUUAGCCAGACUCCCUAAGACUCUUCUGAGAUGCUUGAAUAGGAGAGUCUCCUGGAGUCUUUGCUCUCGUCAUGCUGUGUCAGCGCGCUCGCAUGAUUUGGUGACCAGACGCCUAGCUGCAUCCAGGACAGUAAAGAGAAACUAAAAUUGGAUGUGGAGAAGAACAUCAUGGCUGCUGGUAUUCUAUUUCAGGACAACUGCCAGCAAACAUACACGUACGGUUUCCUCGGUUCUCCUCCGGCUCUAGUUAGACACGUCUAGUGGAGAGAUUGGGUUCACAUGCUGUGCUGGAAUACAUGCUUGGAUUAGUCCUGGAGGAGCCCUCGGAUGCC
Molecule: long non-coding RNA, 354 nt
Organism: Trichomycterus rosablanca
Lineage: Eukaryota; Metazoa; Chordata; Actinopteri; Siluriformes; Trichomycteridae
Exons: 4
Source: RefSeq, a predicted model, not a curated record